GCUCAGGAUGAACGCUGGCGGCGUGCUUAACACAUGCAAGUCGAACGAAGCACUUUUACAGAUUUCUUCGGAAUGAAGUUUUAGUGACUGAGUGGCGGACGGGUGAGUAACGCGUGGGUAACCUGCCUUACACUGGGGGAUAACAGUUAGAAAUGACUGCUAAUACCGCAUAAGCGCACAGGGCCGCAUGGUCUGGUGUGAAAAAUUCCGGUGGUGUAAGAUGGACCCGCGUCUGAUUAGGUAGUUGGUGGGGUAACGGCCCACCAAGCCGACGAUCAGUAGCCGACCUGAGAGGGUGACCGGCCACAUUGGGACUGAGACACGGCCCAAACUCCUACGGGAGGCAGCAGUA
Molecule: ribosomal RNA, 352 nt
Filed under: uncultured bacterium
Lineage: Bacteria
Description: bacterial SSU rRNA
Rfam family: Bacterial small subunit ribosomal RNA
Source: RNAcentral